CCAUAAAUCCUGGUUCUUGUUUUUCUAGAAGAGUCCAGUGGGAGAGAGCAGACUCCCCUGGACCCAGCUGUGUCUCCAUGAAGAGUGACCGCUCUAUGGAUGAUCACCAACCAUCUAGGGAAAGCCCAGCGCAGAGAGCAGACUCCCCUGGAUCCAGCUGUGUCUCCAUGAAGAGUGACUGGUCUAUGGAUAUACCUUUCAACUUUAAAGAUGGAAAUCACCAACCUUCUAAGGAAAGACACCAGGAGAGGUCAAAGGUCACCAGUGCUAAGUCUCUACAGCAGCAUCAAACAGAG
This is a long non-coding RNA of Gadus morhua (Atlantic cod), 296 nucleotides long. RefSeq lists it as uncharacterized. The transcript is spliced from 3 exons. The record is from RefSeq and is a predicted model, not a curated record. Lineage: Eukaryota; Metazoa; Chordata; Actinopteri; Gadiformes; Gadidae.